Non-coding RNA from Camellia sinensis, 2771 nucleotides. The record is from RefSeq and is a predicted model, not a curated record. Lineage: Eukaryota; Viridiplantae; Streptophyta; Magnoliopsida; Ericales; Theaceae.
CUCCCAAAGCCUAUCCCUCUCUCUCUCUCCUCCUCAGACACUCUCUCUCUCUCUCUCUCUCUCUCUCUCUCUAGAACUUUCUCGAUUUCUCUCUCUAAAGCAUCUGAAUUAGGGUUUUUGUUCGCAGUUUCUUGAUCUGAACUCUUGGGAUACCUGCGAGGUAUCCAUUUUCCGGCGAAGGGAAGAUUCGUGUUUUAAAUAUGACAUCUGAUCAGGCAAGGGCAAGUGCUUUUAGUGCUGGAUAGAGCGAAUAGAAGGAAUGUCUGAGUUGUGUAUGUAUGAGGUAGAAAUCUCUUUUCUAUUAUCAAGAAAGGUGCUACAGCUUGAAGAUAUUGUUCUGGAUGAAUUUGAUCAGACUGAUGAUCAUAUAGUACCUCACCCUGGUAAUGAACAUGGGAUUGAACCUGCAUUUCAGGGUAAUAGCUGCAAGAAAGCUCGAUGUGAAGUAAUUGGCAUUUCAAGUUCUGCCAAUUAUGCUAGUCAGGUCAAGGGGGAAGGAGGAUUGCAACCUCUGAAGAACACAAGUGAAACAAUGUUGGAAAAGGAUUUGUGGUCUGACAGACCUGAAGCUGUGUUUACUGCUUCACAUGAUAGUGACGCGAACAAAGUGACAGCUUUAGAAUCUGAUAAUACAAGGAUGUCUAGUCAUUGCUUAAAAAGAAGUAACAUGGAUACAAUCAAUACUGAGUUUUAUGCUGAUGAUCCUAUCAUUGGUGAGAGGUGUGCUGUGGUUGAUAGUAACUCCUAUAAUUAUCCUCUCGGCGACAUUUCUGAAACAGAAAAUGAUUUCAGUCUUUUCCAUAAUGAUAGUGAGGGCAAAGAAUCUAAUGACCUCUUAUAUUAUGCGUGGCCUGAUAUUGGAAACCUUGAGGAUGUUGACAGAAUGUUUAGAAGUUGUGAAUCAACAUUUGGGAUUGGGGGCGCUGGCAACGAAGAUGAUUUAUGUUGGUUUUCAUCAUCACACUCUAUUGAAGGGCCUCAGGAUGUGUUGAAGUCGGAGUUCAAGUUUUCUUGUCCCGAGUCAAGUCCAUUUAAUAAUAUACCAGAACAACAUGAACCCUCUAAACUGAACAAUGCAAGUUCUUCAGUCAACAAUUCCAGCAUGGAGAGUGCAUCUAUUAGCUAUGAAUCUGGUUUUCAGGCAUCAGAAGGUGUUGAGAUUGAUGCUCUUGAUAACUUGAAGUUCAUGAAUGGGUCUGGUACAAUGUCUAAAAGCAAAGAGGAGGUUAAAAGCAUGUUAGGUUUGUAUUUUUUAUUUUUUUUUUUGCAGGGAGUUGAGUUUAAUGGUGCCGUUCAUUCCAACAUUGCAACUGUCAACCACUCUGAAACUGUGAACAGUGGGAUGAUCAAUUUUCAGAACCUGCAGGCAAAGCACCAUAAUCAAUCAGAAGGAAAAAGAAAGGACCGACGCUUCAAAAAUGGUGGCUUGUUCCAUCAGACUGGAAACCUAUGGUUUAAAGACACAAAGCUUCCUUCUGGGAACUCAUCUCGUCAAGUUUUCACCUCUUCAGGCAUUCAGAAACCAAAGAAAAAUGUAGGACCUGGUUCCUUUGGUUACUUGCAGACCCAAAUACCUUAUGUUCAUUUGGACUACAUCCAUCCUUCAGAUCAAAUUCCAGUUUGUUCAACACCCUCUGGUAUCAACUCCAAAAGUAAUGGUCUCAUAUCUCUUACCCCAAAGGAGUCUUGUUGUGUAUCGAAUUGUUCAUUUGAGGCCCCUGUCAUAACAGUGGAUGGCAAAAGAGGAAAGCUACAACGCCAACAAGGAUAUCAUCCCCCAUAUACUAGCAAUUCUAAACAUGUGGAUUUGGUGGUUCAGACCUGUGAUCCAAUUUCAGUCCCAAAGCAAGUCCACCAUUCUCAAAAUGAAAUUGAAAAUCACAUUGAAGUCAAAGGAGUUGACAUAAAAGUUCCAGCAGAUUUAGAUUCUUCAAACGUACAGGAAAGUUCUUGCAUGAGCUCGGGGUUCGGUGAAAUCUCACUGGAAGCAUCUAGUUUUCGCCAGCUUCAACAAGUCAUGGAACAGCUGGAUAUGAAGACAAAAUUAUGCAUAAGGGAUAGUCUGUACCGCUUGGCUAGGAACGCUGAACAAAGACAUCAUCACAUGAAUUUGAAUGAUGGCAGCGUAGAUGAUGGAGACACCAGUGGAGCAUUUAUGGCUGAAGGAACAAAAAAGUCCAAUGGAUUUAUGGAUUUGGAAACUGAUACAAAUCCUAUAGAUCGGUCCAUAGCACACUUACUAUUUCACCGGCCUUCAUACUCGUCCAUAAUGCCAGCUCAUGAUAGUUUGUCUCUCAAUUCACAUACAAUGAUUCAUGGGUCUAGCACCAGUCCACUUGUUAUGGCUGAGAAACUCAUUUGUGAAGAAACUGCCAGUGAAGAAGAUAAAAAAGUAGUGGAUCAACGACAAUGACCAAUGAAAUCAUUAGCUUCAAUGCAGUAACAAUGAAAUAUGUCUAUUAUGGAUUACUAAGCAUGAUCAUGUGUAUAAAAUACAUCGAGAGGCUGCCAUGAAACUGCCAGACAAAACAUGAAGGUGGUCUUUAAUGUUGUCAACAUUGUACAGCCACAAACAUAUGAUUUUCCCAUCAUAAUACAGCAUUCCAGUAUGGCAAUCAAACUUUGUGUUGUUCUUUUUUUGUAGCCAAUGAAUGUGUUGCUGGAGAGUAUUGAGUUUCUUCUGGUGUUUUGCAUCAACAAUGUGCAAAGCAUUUCCAUUUUGUAAUUAUAUGUGAGGUUUUUGGUGCUAUUAUGUACACACAUUUUCAUUA